UACGGAGGGGGCUAGCGUUGUUCGGAAUUACUGGGCGUAAAGCGCGCGUAGGCGGAUUUGCAAGUUGGGGGUGAAAUCCCGGGGCUCAACCUCGGAAUGGCCUUCAAGACUGCUGGUCUUGAGUUCGAGAGAGGUGAGUGGAAUUCCGAGUGUAGAGGUGAAAUUCGUAGAUAUUCGGAGGAACACCAGUGGCGAAGGCGGCUCACUGGCUCGAAACUGACGCUGAGGUGCGAAAGCGUGGGGAGCAAACAGG
This 253-nucleotide ribosomal RNA is filed under the name uncultured bacterium. RNAcentral's name for it is "partial 16S ribosomal RNA". It matches the Rfam family "Bacterial small subunit ribosomal RNA", at positions 524 to 776 of the family's 1533-position model. The record is from RNAcentral.